This is a non-coding RNA of Sturnus vulgaris (Common starling), 86 nucleotides long. The record is from RefSeq and is a predicted model, not a curated record. Lineage: Eukaryota; Metazoa; Chordata; Aves; Passeriformes; Sturnidae.
UCCUAUAGAAACAACACAGGUCCAGGCGUUGCUCAGUGACAUCAGGACGAUUCCUCUCUGACUGCAAGAGGCUGCUCUAACAGGUU